AUAUUCAAAAUAUUUCUAUAGAGAAAUUUGGAGUACAUCUGCCUUAUAUGCCCCACACAUGGUUAUUUGAGCUGAGCCAGCAUGUUAAAAUAUUAAUAUCCAUAUAUAUAAAUAUGUCAUAUACAAAUAACAGUGCGCAUAUUCCAAGUUAAAGCUUGAAAGGAACAAACACAAAAGGUAUACACAGCUCAAGAACCUUUUACUCUUGGAUCGCAGCAGUCUUGAGCAUCGCAUAAGUUGGAUACAAUAAAGCCAAUCGUUCCAUCAGAGUUGCUAAGAACAAGGACGACAGUACUUGUGACAACCGAAACUAAUUUUAUCUUAGGUGGCUGGUAAUAUUAUAAUUGUACUCUCAAAAUUUCAAAUUUAAAUACAUAUAUAGAUUGGGCCAAACUUUUUUGUCUUUUUCCGAAAUUAAAAUCCUUUUGCUUUGAAA
Molecule: long non-coding RNA, 436 nt
Organism: Drosophila grimshawi
Lineage: Eukaryota; Metazoa; Arthropoda; Insecta; Diptera; Drosophilidae
Exons: 2
Source: RefSeq, a predicted model, not a curated record